This is a long non-coding RNA of Canis lupus familiaris (dog), 1024 nucleotides long. RefSeq lists it as uncharacterized. Lineage: Eukaryota; Metazoa; Chordata; Mammalia; Carnivora; Canidae. The transcript has 2 exons. The record is from RefSeq and is a predicted model, not a curated record.
AAGGCAGGGGAGACAGCUACCCCUUACCUGCUCCUGAUUAGGGAAAACAGCCUGGGAUUUCCUGCUGAUUCCAGAAGUCCUGCAGACAUUGUCCUGCUACUCGGAAGGGCAAUAGUAAAUGCACAGCUUUCAGGUUCAGGCCGAGUCGGGUCUGAAUCCCUGCUUUGCCCAAGCCACCUGCAAGACCUACAGCCAAUAACAAGCAGUUUAUGUGCUGGUGGCAGCCAAGGCACCAGCUUUGAGGAAUGGCUGUCUAGUCACCCUGGGCAGCAGCUGUUUGAUCUCUUGAUUUCACCCAGGUGAUGGUCAAGAAGGACAGGAGGCAGCGUGAGACCAGGGGCAGGCUGUAAGCAGGCACAAGGACUUUGAAGACUGGCUGACCAGCUUGCAGAGGUGCCACCAUGAAGGAAAGUGCUUGAAGGAGUUGGGGGAGCCAAUGUAUGAUGUGGAGCCUGGAAAGUAGCUUCAGGCUGGAUUGCACUGGGAGGACUGGGCAGGAGAGGCAGGGGAGGAGGACCAGCUGUCAGCAGAAGGACCACAAGGGGACAGGGUAGGGUAGCAAGGAUGGAAGAGGUGGGCCUGGGUCAGCUCUUUCCUGGUGUGGACAUGUGUCCCUGCCUCAGCAGACCCGAGGGCAGUGGUAAGAUGUUGGAGAGACCCCUGGCCAGUCACCCUGGGCUACCAGAGACACCCAUCUCACCACCAAGUAGAAAACCAGCCUUCCUUUAGACCUUGAGGAGAAGUUUCUGGGGCCAGAGUCAGGAGAUGUUGUCCCUGUCAAGAGUAAUCAGUCUAUUGCUGUCUGAGGUCAGAACUGUGGAAUUACGUAGGUGACUUUUCACAUUGGCUGCUGAAAACCUUCAAGCCACACGUCGGCCCAAGUGGAAGAAUCGUGGAGGCACGCACAUUUGUUUGAUUUUGAUUAAGUCCUAGAUUUGCUUCAUAUUCCUACUCUGGUCUGUCUUUCUCACUUACACCUUAAAAAUGUUGGAUCUUGUUUCUGAAAUAAAAAGAUGCUUUGAAA